UACGUAGGGUGCAAGCGUUGUCCGGAAUUAUUGGGCGUAAAGAGCUCGUAGGCGGUCUGUCGCGUCGGCUGUGAAAACUCGGGGCUCAACCCCGAGCCUGCAGUCGAUACGGGCAGACUAGAGUGCUGUAGGGGAGACUGGAAUUCCUGGUGUAGCGGUGAAAUGCGCAGAUAUCAGGAGGAACACCGGUGGCGAAGGCGGGUCUCUGGGCCGAUACUGACGCUGAGGAGCGAAAGCGUGGGGAGCGAACAGG
This 253-nucleotide ribosomal RNA is filed under the name uncultured bacterium. RNAcentral describes it as "partial 16S ribosomal RNA". It matches the Rfam family "Bacterial small subunit ribosomal RNA", at positions 524 to 776 of the family's 1533-position model. The record is from RNAcentral.